Molecule: transfer RNA, 63 nt
Filed under: Fukomys damarensis (Damara mole-rat)
Lineage: Eukaryota; Metazoa; Chordata; Mammalia; Rodentia; Bathyergidae
Rfam family: tRNA
About the family: Transfer RNA (tRNA) molecules are approximately 80 nucleotides in length. Their secondary structure includes four short double-helical elements and three loops (D, anti-codon, and T loops).
Source: Rfam by way of RNAcentral
GGUGGUGUAGCUCAGUGGCACAGGCCAUGCCUGAGGUUCUGGGUUCAAUUCCCAGCACCAAUA